UCUAACGGCCAUGCCACCUUGAACAAGCCCUAUCCCAUCUGAUCUCGGAAGCUAAGCAGGGUCGGGCCUGGUUAGUACUUGAAUGGGAGACCACUUAGGAAGACCAGGUGCUGUAGAU
RNAcentral lists this ribosomal RNA (118 nucleotides) under Pteropus alecto (black flying fox). Lineage: Eukaryota; Metazoa; Chordata; Mammalia; Chiroptera; Pteropodidae. The record is from RNAcentral.